GCAUUGGAGCGGAAGUUCUGACGAGCAACUCGCUCCGCGUGAGGUGCAAGAAAGUCUUUCGAUCGUAAACUCGUUUGGUCAAGAGCAGAAUCGUUGUGUAGAGUGACAAUACACAGUGAUCGGUAUUCUACCAGAAAUGGACGCUACUACGUGCCAGCAGCCGCGUAAUACGUAGGUCCCGAGCGUGUCCGGAUUUAUUGGGCGUAAAGCGAGCGCAGGUGGUUUAAUAAGUCUGAUGUAAAAGGCAGUGGCUCAAUCAUUGUGUGCAUUGGAAACUGUUAGACUUGAGUGCAGUAGAGGAGAGUGGAAUUCCAUGUGUAGCGGUGAAAUGCGUAGAUAUAUGGAGGAACACCGGUGGCGAAAGCGGCUCUCUGGACUGUAACUGACACUGAGGCUCGAAAGCGUGGGUAGCAAACAGGAUUAGAUACCCUGGUAGUCCACGCCGUAAACGAUGAGUGCUAGUUGUUUGGGGCUAUCCAGCCCUAAGUGACGCAGCAAACGCAUUAAGCACUCCGCCUGGGGAGUACGACCGCAAGGUUGAAACUCAAAGGAAUUGACGGGGGCCCGCACAAGCGGUGGAGCAUGUGGUUUAAUUCGAAGCAACGCGAAGAACCUUACCAGGUCUUGACAUACCAGUGCUAUUCUUAGAGAUAAGAAGUUACUUCGGUACACUGGAUACAGGUGGUGCAUGGUUGUCGUCAGCUCGUGUCGUGAGAUGUUGGGUUAAGUCCCGCAACGAGCGCAACCCCUAUUGUUAGUUGCCAUCAUUAAGUUGGGCACUCUAGCGAGACUGCCGGUAAUAAACCGGAGGAAGGUGGGGAUGACGUCAAAUCAUCAUGCCCCUUAUGACCUGGGCUACACACGUGCUACAAUGGUUGGUACAACGAGUCGCAAGCUAGUGAUAGCAAGCUAAUCUCUUAAAGCCAAUCUCAGUUCGGAUUGUAGGCUGCAACUCGCCUACAUGAAGUCGGAAUCGCUAGUAAUCGCGGAUCAGCACGCCGCGGUGAAUACGUUCCCGGGCCUUGUACACACCGCCCGUCACACCACGAGAGUUUGUAAUACCCAAAGCCGGUGAGCUAACCUUUUAGGAGGCAGCCGUCUAAGGUAGGAUAGAUGAUUGGGGUGAAGUCGUAACAAGGUAGCC
This 1144-nucleotide ribosomal RNA is filed under the name uncultured Lactococcus sp. Its description in RNAcentral is "bacterial SSU rRNA". It matches the Rfam family "Bacterial small subunit ribosomal RNA", at positions 368 to 1501 of the family's 1533-position model. The record is from RNAcentral. Lineage: Bacteria; Bacillati; Bacillota; Bacilli; Lactobacillales; Streptococcaceae.